This 253-nucleotide ribosomal RNA is filed under the name uncultured bacterium. RNAcentral's name for it is "partial 16S ribosomal RNA". It matches the Rfam family "Bacterial small subunit ribosomal RNA", at positions 524 to 776 of the family's 1533-position model. The record is from RNAcentral.
UACGUAGGUGGCAAGCGUUGUCCGGAUUUAUUGGGUUUAAAGGGUGCGUAGGCGGCCUUAUAAGUCAGUGCUGAAAUAUCCCGGCUUAACCGGGAGGGUGGCAUUGAUACUGUAGGGCUUGAGUGUAGUCGAGGUAGGCGGAAUUGACGGUGUAGCGGUGAAAUGCUUAGAUAUCUGGAGGAAUACCGGUGGCGAAGGCGGCAUCCUGGACCGGCAUUGACGCUGAGGAGCGAAAGCUAGGGGAGCAAACGGG